This 221-nucleotide ribosomal RNA is filed under the name uncultured eukaryote. Its description in RNAcentral is "partial 18S ribosomal RNA". It matches the Rfam family "Eukaryotic small subunit ribosomal RNA", at positions 1299 to 1458 of the family's 1831-position model. The record is from RNAcentral.
UCGUGGAGUGAUUUGUCUUGUUAAUUCAGUUAACGAACGAGACCUUAACCUACUAACUAGGCUAUAGGCCAGCUCUCGGGCUGGUCAGUUUCUUCGGGGUGGUUCGUAUGGGCCAUCUCUUGAAACCUAUAAUAUGGGACUUCAUCUUCGGGUGGAGUCCUUGCUUCUUAGAGGGACAAUACUUCGUUCAUAUUAGAGUAAGGAAGUUUAAGGCAAUAACA